Molecule: ribosomal RNA, 440 nt
Filed under: uncultured bacterium
Lineage: Bacteria
Description: bacterial SSU rRNA
Rfam family: Bacterial small subunit ribosomal RNA
Source: RNAcentral
GAUGAACGCUGGCGGCGUGCUUAACACAUGCAAGUCGAACGAAGCACUUUUACGGAAGUUUUCGGAUGGAAGUGAUGGUGACUGAGUGGCGGACGGGUGAGUAACGCGUGGGUAACCUGCCUCAUACAGGGGGAUAACAGUUAGAAAUGACUGCUAAUACCGCAUAAGCGCACAGUAUCGCAUGGUACAGUGUGAAAAACUCCGGUGGUAUGAGAUGGACCCGCGUCUGAUUAGCUAGUUGGUGAGGUAACGGCCCACCAAGGCGACGAUCAGUAGCCGACCUGAGAGGGUGACCGGCACAUUGGGACUGAGACACGGCCCAAAAUCCUACGGGAGCAGCAGUGGGAAUAUUGCACAAUGGGCGAAAGCCUGAUGCAGCGACGCCGCGUGAACGAAGAAGUAUUCGGUAUGUAAAGUUCUAAUCAGCAGGGAAGAAAAUG